CUGAUGUCGAGAUGAGCAGAAAUGGUGGACGGCACAACCACAGGUACACUGGGUUAGUGUUCUGGGACUUGGGGCUUUGGGAGGGGAGAUCCUGGGUUUAAGGGCACACACGGGAGCUGAUAUACACCUGAAGCAGGCAUGCGGUGCGGGUCUUUGGGCCACCCCCUGACUCUCUACCGUGGUUGUUGCCCGACACGGGGUGGGCACGAGACACCUUGGGGGGGAGAGGGACAAAGGGGGGCAACAGACAGCAGAUACCAACAGCCUGGCUGGAUAUUCAGCACAAAGUCAGAACAUCCUGGACGCAAAUACGGUGAUCCC
Molecule: non-coding RNA, 321 nt
Organism: Pelobates cultripes (western spadefoot toad)
Lineage: Eukaryota; Metazoa; Chordata; Amphibia; Anura; Pelobatidae
Source: the annotation of a GenBank genome assembly